RNAcentral lists this ribosomal RNA (253 nucleotides) under uncultured bacterium. Its description in RNAcentral is "partial 16S ribosomal RNA". It matches the Rfam family "Bacterial small subunit ribosomal RNA", at positions 524 to 776 of the family's 1533-position model. The record is from RNAcentral.
UACGGAGGGUGCGAGCGUUAUCCGGAAUCACUGGGUUUAAAGGGUGCGUAGGCGGCUCGGUAAGUCAGUUGUGAAAGCCCCUUGCUUAACGAGGGAGGUGCGAUUGAUACUGUGGAGCUUGAAUCGGGAUGAGGCAGGCGGAAUGUGGCAUGUAGCGGUGAAAUGCAUAGAUAUGCCAGAGAACACCGAUUGCGAAGGCAGCCUGCUGGGCCUGUAUUGACGAUGAGGCACGAAAGCGUGGGGAGCAAACAGG